This is a non-coding RNA of Pelobates cultripes (western spadefoot toad), 220 nucleotides long. Lineage: Eukaryota; Metazoa; Chordata; Amphibia; Anura; Pelobatidae. The record is from the annotation of a GenBank genome assembly.
CGGUCAUAGCUUGUGGUUUCUCAGUGUACGAGGAAUUGUGGGUCUUCCAAUUCAAGAGAUCGGUAGUCGUGAACGGGACAUAUACGAAGACUGGGUCAGCAUGUGCCAUUUGACCUGCGGCAUCGAUAUAUGCUGACCCAGGAUUCAGACGAAGAGGCAUCUGAUAAUGUUUUAAUUGUUGGGUACCGGUCAGUUGUCGGGUUAGUAUGGGGCUACGUGG